GGGGGUGUAGCUCAUUUGGUAGAGCGUACGGUUCGCAUCCGUAAGGUAGUGAGUUCGACUCUCAUCAUCUCCACCA
RNAcentral lists this transfer RNA (76 nucleotides) under Oscillospiraceae bacterium. RNAcentral's name for it is "tRNA-Ala". It matches the Rfam family "tRNA". Rfam says of the family: Transfer RNA (tRNA) molecules are approximately 80 nucleotides in length. Their secondary structure includes four short double-helical elements and three loops (D, anti-codon, and T loops). Lineage: Bacteria; Bacillati; Bacillota; Clostridia; Eubacteriales; Oscillospiraceae. The record is from RNAcentral.